RNAcentral lists this unclassified non-coding RNA (87 nucleotides) under Pseudomonas jessenii. Lineage: Bacteria; Pseudomonadati; Pseudomonadota; Gammaproteobacteria; Pseudomonadales; Pseudomonadaceae. The record is from RNAcentral.
GUGGGAGCGAGCUUGCUCGCGAUAGCGUCAUGCCAGUCGACAUUGAUGUUGAAUGGACUACCGAAUCGCGAGCAAGCUCGCUCCCAC